Molecule: long non-coding RNA, 277 nt
Organism: Sebastes umbrosus (honeycomb rockfish)
Lineage: Eukaryota; Metazoa; Chordata; Actinopteri; Perciformes; Sebastidae
Exons: 3
Source: RefSeq, a predicted model, not a curated record
GUCACCUUAACUAUGUACCACACACAGAUGUAACGUUAUCUUACCUGAUGUGUUUCGUCCAGCGACUCCUGGUCUUUUUAUCAGCCGGGAAGCAAAAGAACAAGCGAGACCCGUUGCCGGUGUGAGUACAUCCCAGUACGAAUCACACAGGCAUCGGGACUUUGCCUCUCUAUGCAAAGACACACAUACAACUACAUAUCUCCAUCUAUAGCCACAUGCACGACGGACACCUCCAUCCUCCGCUAACAGACAGUUCAGAGGAGAGAGGUGGUUCAGC